UAAUACAGAGGGUGCAAGCGUUAAUCGGAAUUACUGGGCGUAAAGCGUGUGUAGGUGGAUGCUUAAGUCAGAUGUGAAAGCCCCGGGCUCAACCUGGGAAUUGCAUCUGAUACUGGGCGUCUAGAGUAUGGUAGAGGAUGGCGGAAUUUCCGGUGUAGCGGUGAAAUGCGUAGAUAUCGGAAGGAACACCAGUGGCGAAGGCGGCCGUCUGGGCCAAUACUGACACUGAGACACGAAAGCGUGGGUAGCAAACAGG
Molecule: ribosomal RNA, 256 nt
Filed under: uncultured bacterium
Lineage: Bacteria
Description: partial 16S ribosomal RNA
Rfam family: Bacterial small subunit ribosomal RNA
Source: RNAcentral